GUCUUUUUGGAGACAUCCAAUAAAAUUGAAACAAUAUAGAAAAGAUUAGCAUGGACCCUUCGCAAGGCCAACACGCACAAAUCAAGAAAUGGUCCAAUUUUUA
This is a small nuclear RNA of Macadamia integrifolia, 103 nucleotides long. The record is from RefSeq and is a predicted model, not a curated record. NCBI's taxonomy places the organism in Eukaryota, Viridiplantae, Streptophyta, Magnoliopsida, Proteales, Proteaceae.